RNAcentral lists this transfer RNA (77 nucleotides) under Arthrobacter pityocampae. RNAcentral's name for it is "tRNA-Met". It matches the Rfam family "tRNA". From Rfam's summary of the family: Transfer RNA (tRNA) molecules are approximately 80 nucleotides in length. Lineage: Bacteria; Bacillati; Actinomycetota; Actinomycetes; Micrococcales; Micrococcaceae. The record is from RNAcentral.
GGCGGUGUAGCUCAGCUGGUUAGAGCGCACGACUCAUAAUCGUGAGGUCGUGGGAUCGAGUCCCACCACCGCUACCG